AUUGAACGCUGGCGGCAUGCCUUACACAUGCAAGUCGAACGGCAUCGCGGGAAAGCUUGCUUUCCUGGCGGCGAGUGGCGAACGGGUGAGUAACACAUCGGAACGUACCGGCUAGUGGGGGAUAACCCGUCGAAAGACGGGCUAAUACCGCAUACGCUCUUCGGAGGAAAGCAGGGGACCUCUGGGCCUUGCGCUAGCCGAGCGGCCGAUGUCCGAUUAGCUAGUUGGUGGGGUAAAGGCCUACCAAGGCGACGAUCGGUAGCGGGUCUGAGAGGACGAUCCGCCACACUGGGACUGAGACACGGCCCAGACUCCUACGGGAGGCAGCAGUGGGGAAUCUUGGACAAUGGGGGCAACCCUGAUCCAGCAAUGCCGCGUGGGUGAAGAAGGCCUUCGGGUUGUAAAGCCCUUUCGGCAGGGAAGAAAUCGGCGGGGCGAAUAACCCUGCUGGAUGACGGUACCUGCAGAAGAAGCACCGGCUAACUACGUG
RNAcentral lists this ribosomal RNA (490 nucleotides) under uncultured bacterium. Its description in RNAcentral is "partial 16S ribosomal RNA". It matches the Rfam family "Bacterial small subunit ribosomal RNA", at positions 29 to 507 of the family's 1533-position model. The record is from RNAcentral.